Molecule: transfer RNA, 67 nt
Filed under: Dussumieria elopsoides (slender rainbow sardine)
Lineage: Eukaryota; Metazoa; Chordata; Actinopteri; Clupeiformes; Dussumieriidae
Description: tRNA-Ser
Source: RNAcentral
GAGAGAGGCCUGUAGCAGCAGAAUCUGCUAAAUUCUGCACCCGCAGUUAAAAUCUGCGGCUCACUCG